CAUUAUUAAUCAUGUUUAUGUUCCUGUUUAUGACUGACUUGUUUAUGUCUGACUUGUUUAUUACUAGUUAACACAAAAGAUUGUCUAUGUACCCCCCCCGUAUAUAAGCCCCCCCCCUUGUAUAAGCCCAUCAAAAAUCGCUUACGACAGUAUAUAAGCCCAGGGCUUAUAGUCGGAGGUUUACGGUAUAAACUUUAUAACCACAUACAUAUGUUAUAUAUUGUUACAUUAUAUAUAGAAACAACAUAAUCAUUUAUUAAGUCAUGAUAAAAAUAUGAAA
This is a non-coding RNA of Paramuricea clavata, 280 nucleotides long. NCBI's taxonomy places the organism in Eukaryota, Metazoa, Cnidaria, Anthozoa, Malacalcyonacea, Plexauridae. The record is from the annotation of a GenBank genome assembly.